RNAcentral lists this ribosomal RNA (625 nucleotides) under Salmonella enterica subsp. enterica serovar Enteritidis str. 10-34587. RNAcentral's name for it is "bacterial LSU rRNA". It matches the Rfam family "Bacterial large subunit ribosomal RNA", at positions 1 to 655 of the family's 2925-position model. The record is from RNAcentral. Lineage: Bacteria; Pseudomonadati; Pseudomonadota; Gammaproteobacteria; Enterobacterales; Enterobacteriaceae.
GGGUUGUGAGGUUAAGCGACUAAGCGUACACGGUGGAUGCCCUGGCAGUCAGAGGCGAUGAAGGGCGUGCUAAUCUGCGAUAAGCGCCGGUAAGGUGAUAUGAACCGUUAUAACCGGCGAUACCCGAAUGGGGAAACCCAGUGUGAUUCGUCACACUAUCAUUAACUGAAUCCAUAGGUUAAUGAGGCGAACCGGGGGAACUGAAACAUCUAAGUACCCCGAGGAAAAGAAAUCAACCGAGAUUCCCCCAGUAGCGGCGAGCGAACGGGGAGGAGCCCAGAGCCUGAAUCAGCAUGUGUGUUAGUGGAAGCGUCUGGAAAGGCGCGCGAUACAGGGUGACAGCCCCGUACACAAAAGCGCAUGUGCUGUGAGCUCGAUGAGUAGGGCGGGACACGUGGUAUCCUGUCUGAAUAUGGGGGGACCAUCCUCCAAGGCUAAAUACUCCUGACUGACCGAUAGUGAACCAGUACCGUGAGGGAAAGGACGAAAAGCAACCCGGCGAGGGGAGUGAAAAAGAACCUGAAACCGUGUACGUACAAGCAGUGGGAGCACCCUUUGGGUGUGACUGCGUACCUUUUGUAUAAUGGGUCAGCGACUUAUAUUCUGUAGCUAAGGUUAACCGAAU